This 351-nucleotide long non-coding RNA is filed under the name Mus musculus (house mouse). Its description in RNAcentral is "alncRNA-EC25". The record is from RNAcentral. Lineage: Eukaryota; Metazoa; Chordata; Mammalia; Rodentia; Muridae.
GGACUGAGGAAGAAGAGGGGAUUUGGCCAGGAGCAGAGGGUAGGAGACGGACCACCCUGGAAACAUGGCAUUCUCCCCCAGGAGCCUGUGUGUGGAUGUGGCUGUUAGCAUCAGAGGCUGCAUGUCCACCCCACCUCACCCCAAGUCGCCCUUUACCUGCUAUGAGGGAACUGGAAGCUGCAAGCAUCCUCAGCUGACAACUGCACCUCCGCGAAUGGCUGGGUCUCUGUAGUAAAACUGCGUGCGGUAAGUGAGGGGCCUGAGACACAUUUUCCCCUUCCCUGGGACACAACUGACCUCGAGGACACAUGUGUUGCCUCCUCAGCUGCCAUAUGUGCAGGCCGAGCUGGA